RNAcentral lists this ribosomal RNA (490 nucleotides) under Pedobacter sp. RNAcentral's name for it is "bacterial SSU rRNA". It matches the Rfam family "Bacterial small subunit ribosomal RNA", at positions 22 to 510 of the family's 1533-position model. The record is from RNAcentral. Lineage: Bacteria; Pseudomonadati; Bacteroidota; Sphingobacteriia; Sphingobacteriales; Sphingobacteriaceae.
GCUCAGGAUGAACGCUAGCGGCAGGCCUAAUACAUGCAAGUCGACGAGAUUAUCCAGCUUGCUGGAUUUGAAAGUGGCGCACGGGUGCGUAACGCGUAUGCAACCUACCUUAAUCUGGGGGAUAGCCCGGAGAAAUCCGGAUUAACACCGCAUAAAAACACAGGAUAGCAUUAUCCAAUGUUCAAAUAUUUAUAGGAUUGGGAUGGGCAUGCGUGUCAUUAGCUAGUUGGCGGGGUAACGGCCCACCAAGGCGACGAUGACUAGGGGAUCUGAGAGGAUGGCCCCCCACACUGGUACUGAGACACGGACCAGACUCCUACGGGAGGCAGCAGUAAGGAAUAUUGGUCAAUGGAGGCAACUCUGAACCAGCCAUGCCGCGUGCAGGAAGACUGCCCUAUGGGUUGUAAACUGCUUUUAUCCGGGAAUAAACCUCUUUACGUGUAGAGAGCUGAAUGUACCGGAAGAAUAAGGAUCGGCUAACUCCGUGCCA